GGGCCGGUAGCUCAGGGGUAGAGCACCUGACUUUUAAUCAGGGUGUCCGGGGUCCGAAUCCCCGCCGGCUCACCA
RNAcentral lists this transfer RNA (75 nucleotides) under Dehalococcoidia bacterium. RNAcentral's name for it is "tRNA-Lys". It matches the Rfam family "tRNA". Rfam says of the family: Transfer RNA (tRNA) molecules are approximately 80 nucleotides in length. Their secondary structure includes four short double-helical elements and three loops (D, anti-codon, and T loops). Lineage: Bacteria; Bacillati; Chloroflexota; Dehalococcoidia. The record is from RNAcentral.